GACAGAGGGUGCAAACGUUGUUCGGAAUUAUUGGGCGUAAAGAGCGUGUAGGCGGCCACACAGGUCUGCUGUGAAAACUCGAGGCUCAACCUCGAGCUGUCGGUGGAAACCGUGUGGCUAGAGUCCGGAAGAGGAGAGUGGAAUUCCCGGUGUAGCGGUGAAAUGCGCAGAUAUCGGGAAGAACACCCGUGGCGAAGGCGGCUCUCUGGGACGGUACUGACGCUGAGACGCGAAAGCGUGGGGAGCGAACAGG
This 253-nucleotide ribosomal RNA is filed under the name uncultured bacterium. Its description in RNAcentral is "partial 16S ribosomal RNA". It matches the Rfam family "Bacterial small subunit ribosomal RNA", at positions 524 to 776 of the family's 1533-position model. The record is from RNAcentral.